AGCGAACGCUGGCGGCAUGCCUUACACAUGCAAGUCGAACGGCAGCACGGGUGCUUGCACCUGGUGGCGAGUGGCGAACGGGUGAGUAAUACAUCGGAACGUACCUUAUCGUGGGGGAUAACGCAGCGAAAGCUGUGCUAAUACCGCAUACGCCCUGAGGGGGAAAGCGGGGGAUCGCAAGACCUCGCGCGAUUAGAGCGGCCGAUGCCUGAUUAGCUUGUUGGUGGGGUAAAAGCCCACCUAGGCGACGAUCAGUAGCUGGUCUGAGAGGACGAUCAGGCACACUGGGACUGAGACACGGCCCAGACUCCUACGGGAGGCAGCAGUGGGGAAUUUUGGACAAUGGGGGCAACCCUGAUCCAGCAAUGCCGCGUGAGUGAAGAAGGCCUUCGGGUUGUAAAGCUCUUUUGUCAGGGAAGAAACACCGGCUCUAACACAGUCCGGGAAUGACGGUACCCGCAGAAGAAGCCCCGGCUAACUUCGUGCCAGCCGCCGCGGUAA
Molecule: ribosomal RNA, 501 nt
Filed under: uncultured bacterium
Lineage: Bacteria
Description: partial 16S ribosomal RNA
Rfam family: Bacterial small subunit ribosomal RNA
Source: RNAcentral